This is a long non-coding RNA of Engraulis encrasicolus (European anchovy), 210 nucleotides long. RefSeq lists it as uncharacterized. NCBI's taxonomy places the organism in Eukaryota, Metazoa, Chordata, Actinopteri, Clupeiformes, Engraulidae. The record is from RefSeq and is a predicted model, not a curated record. The transcript is spliced from 4 exons.
CACUGACAGCCGUUGGAGAUCGUUGCACUCGAGGAAACCAAAAUCAAAUGGACACCUUAAAAAUACUUAAGUCCCAAGGACAGAAAAUGUACAAUGGCCUGGGCUCCAUUGGGGGACACACCCUGUAUAUGAGCAGCUUGGAGGCCCUUGUAGGCCAGUGUGAGCUGCCUGAUGAGGUUAUUAAUGCACUUUUUGUGGUAUUCAGUAAGG